UUGCUUUGGCUGCACAUAUACUAAAAUUAAAAUAAUACCAAAAAGAGUGGCAUGGUCCCAGCACAAGGAUGACAGGUGAAUUUGUGAAGCUCUCCAUAUGAAA
This is a small nuclear RNA of Rhinolophus ferrumequinum (greater horseshoe bat), 103 nucleotides long. NCBI's taxonomy places the organism in Eukaryota, Metazoa, Chordata, Mammalia, Chiroptera, Rhinolophidae. The record is from Ensembl.